Molecule: long non-coding RNA, 222 nt
Organism: Sander lucioperca (pikeperch)
Lineage: Eukaryota; Metazoa; Chordata; Actinopteri; Perciformes; Percidae
Exons: 3
Source: RefSeq, a predicted model, not a curated record
UUGAGCCAUGGAUUACACAUACAAUGUUCGUCAGUUUAAAAUAUAUUUUCCAAGUCAAGAAAGUCUCAGUUUGUCGUAAAACUGUUUAAGUAUAACACUCAGGGUUUGUACACCUUUUCCAAGGUCAAAUUCAAGCACUUUUCAAGCACUUUCAAGGUCCAUUUUAAAGCUUUUUCCAGCACCUUACACCACCGUAAAUUACAUACCAAUACAUAUUCAAAG